AAUGAACGCUGGCGGCGCGCCUAAUACAUGCAAGUCGAGCGAGAAGACGUAGCAAUACGUUUGUAAAGCGGCGAACGGGUGAGGAAUACAUGGGUAACCUACCCUCGAGUGGGGAAUAACUAGCCGAAAGGUUAGCUAAUACCGCGUACGCUCCUUGGACUUCGGUUCAGGGAGGAAAGCGAUACCGUGGGUAUCGCGCUCUUGGUUGGGCUCAUGUCCUAUCAGCUUGUUGGUGAGGAACGGCUCACCAAGGCUUCGACGGGUAGCUGGUCUGAGAGGACGAUCAGCCACACUGGCACUGCGACACGGGCCAGACUCCUACGGGAGGCAGCAGUAAGGAAUAUUGCGCAAUGGGCGAAAGCCUGACGCAGCGACGCCGCGUGGGGGAUGAAAGUCUUCGGAUUGUAAACCCCUUUCGGGUAGGGAAGA
RNAcentral lists this ribosomal RNA (429 nucleotides) under uncultured bacterium. RNAcentral describes it as "bacterial SSU rRNA". It matches the Rfam family "Bacterial small subunit ribosomal RNA", at positions 29 to 448 of the family's 1533-position model. The record is from RNAcentral.